UACGUAGGGUGCGAGCGUUGUCCGGAAUUAUUGGGCGUAAAGGGCUCGUAGGCGGUCUGUCACGUCGAAAGUGAAAACUCAGGGCUUAACCCUGAGCCUGCUUCCGAUACGGGCAGACUAGAGGUAUGCAGGGGAGAAUGGAAUUCCUGGUGUAGCGGUGAAAUGCGCAGAUAUCAGGAGGAACACCAGUGGCGAAGGCGGUUCUCUGGGCAUUACCUGACGCUGAGGAGCGAAAGCGUGGGAGCGAACAGG
RNAcentral lists this ribosomal RNA (252 nucleotides) under uncultured bacterium. RNAcentral's name for it is "partial 16S ribosomal RNA". It matches the Rfam family "Bacterial small subunit ribosomal RNA", at positions 524 to 776 of the family's 1533-position model. The record is from RNAcentral.